UAAGGAAUAUUGGACAAUGGACGCAAGUCUGAUCCAGCCAUGCCGCGUGAAGGAUGAAUGCCCUCUGGGUUGUAAACUUCUUUUACAGGGGAAGAAAGUUAUCUUUUUUAGGAUAUUUGACGGUACCCUAUGAAUAAGCACCGGCUAACUCCGUGCCAGCAGCCGCGGUAAUACGGAGGGUGCAAGCGUUAUCCGGAUUCACUGGGUUUAAAGGGUGCGUAGGCGGGUAUGUAAGUCAGUGGUGAAAUACCGGAGCUUAACUUCGGAACUGCCAUUGAUACUAUAUAUCUUGAAUAUUGUGGAGGUAAGCGGAAUAUGUCAUGUAGCGGUGAAAUGCUUAGAGAUGACAUAGAACACCGAUUGCGAAGGCAGCUUACUACGCAAAUAUUGACGCUGAGGCACGAAAGCGUGGGGAUCAAACAGG
Molecule: ribosomal RNA, 424 nt
Filed under: uncultured bacterium
Lineage: Bacteria
Description: bacterial SSU rRNA
Rfam family: Bacterial small subunit ribosomal RNA
Source: RNAcentral